This 346-nucleotide unclassified non-coding RNA is filed under the name soil metagenome. Its description in RNAcentral is "partial contains 5.8S ribosomal RNA, internal transcribed spacer 2, and large subunit ribosomal RNA". The stretch from base 1 to 119 matches the Rfam family "5.8S ribosomal RNA", at positions 35 to 154 of the family's 154-position model. The record is from RNAcentral.
GAUGAAGAACGCAGCGAAAUGCGAUACGUAAUGUGAAUUGCAAAUUCAGUGAAUCAUCGAGUCUUUGAACGCACAUUGCGCCCCCUGGUAUUCCGGGGGGCAUGCCUGUCCGAGCGUCAUUGCUGCCCUCAAGCACGGCUUGUGUGUUGGGCCCCGUCCUCCGAUCCCGGGGGACGGGCCCGAAAGGCAGCGGCGGCACCGCGUCCGGUCCUCGAGCAUAUGGGGCUUUGUCACCCGCUCUGUAGGCCCGGCCGGCGCUUGCCGAUCAACCCAAAUUUUUUAUCCAGGUUGACCUCGGAUCAGGUAGGGAUACCCGCUGAACUUAAGCAUAUCAAUAAGCGGAGGA